RNAcentral lists this ribosomal RNA (424 nucleotides) under uncultured bacterium. RNAcentral describes it as "partial 16S ribosomal RNA". It matches the Rfam family "Bacterial small subunit ribosomal RNA", at positions 360 to 776 of the family's 1533-position model. The record is from RNAcentral.
AAUAUUGGACAAUGGGGGGAACCCUGAUCCAGCCAUGCCGCGUGUGUGAAGAAGGUCUUCGGAUUGUAAAGCACUUUAAGUUGGGAGGAAGAGUUGUAGGCUAAUACCUGGCAAUUUUGACGUUACCAACAAAUAAAGCACCGCCUACCUCCGUGCAAGCAGCCCCGGUAAUACGAAGGGUGCAAGCGUUAAUCGGAAUUACUGGGCGUAAAGCGCGCGUAGGUGGUUCGUUAAGUUGGAAGUGAAAGCCCCGGGCUUAACCUGGGAAUUGCUUUCAAAACUGACGAGCUAGAGUACGGUAGAGGGUAGUGGAAUUCCCUGUGUAGCGGUGAAAUGCGUAGAUAUAGGAAGGAACAUCAGUGGCGAAGGCGACUACCUGGACUGAUACUGACACUGAGGUGCGAAAGCGUGGGGAGCAAACAGG